RNAcentral lists this ribosomal RNA (496 nucleotides) under uncultured bacterium. Its description in RNAcentral is "partial 16S ribosomal RNA". It matches the Rfam family "Bacterial small subunit ribosomal RNA", at positions 29 to 507 of the family's 1533-position model. The record is from RNAcentral.
AUGAACGCUGGCGGCGUGCCUAAUCCAUGCAAGUCGAGCGAACAGAUAAGGAGCUUGCUCCUUUGACGUUAGCGGCGGACGGGUGAGUAACACGUGGGUAACCUACCUAUAAGACUGGAAUAACUCCGGGAAACCGGGGCUAAUGCCGGAUAACAUUUAGAACCGCAUGGUUCUAAAGUGAAAGAUGGUUUUGCUAUCACUUAUAGAUGGACCCGCGCCGUAUUAGCUAGUUGGUAAGGUAACGGCUUACCAAGGCAACGAUACGUAGCCGACCUGAGAGGGUGAUCGGCCACACUGGAACUGAGACACGGUCCAGACUCCUACGGGAGGCAGCAGUAGGGAAUCUUCCGCAAUGGGCGAAAGCCUGACGGAGCAACGCCGCGUGAGUGAUGAAGGUCUUCGGAUCGUAAAACUCUGUUAUUAGGGAAGAACAAAUGUGUAAGUAACUGUGCACGUCUUGACGGUACCUAAUCAGAAAGCCACGGCUAACUACGUG